UUUUAUGGAGAGUUUGAUCCUGGCUCAGAGUGAACGCUGGCGGCGUGCCUAAUACAUGCAAGUCGAACGAUGAAGCUUCUAGCUUGCUAGAAGUGGAUUAGUGGCGCACGGGUGAGUAAGGUAUAGUUAAUCUGCCCUACACAAGAGGACAACAGUUGGAAACGACUGCUAAUACUCUAUACUCCUGCUUAACACAAGUUGAGUAGGGAAAGUUUUUCGGUGUAGGAUGAGACUAUAUAGUAUCAGCUAGUUGGUAAGGUAAUGGCU
Molecule: ribosomal RNA, 267 nt
Filed under: Campylobacter coli
Lineage: Bacteria; Pseudomonadati; Campylobacterota; Epsilonproteobacteria; Campylobacterales; Campylobacteraceae
Also listed under: 1 other name
Description: partial 16S ribosomal RNA
Rfam family: Bacterial small subunit ribosomal RNA
Source: RNAcentral